RNAcentral lists this long non-coding RNA (850 nucleotides) under Locusta migratoria (migratory locust). Its description in RNAcentral is "partial Lnc33384". Lineage: Eukaryota; Metazoa; Arthropoda; Insecta; Orthoptera; Acrididae. The record is from RNAcentral.
UAUAGUUUAUACACAGUGUCUGUCACUUUCUUUCACUACUUUUUAUGUAGAUGGCUUUUAUGCUCUGAGUGAAGUUGGAUUCAGUAAUGAGUUUAGAUGUAUGAAUAGUUUUUCCCUGGCGGGAAUGGAGCACUUUGCAAAUUAAUUGCUGAGACCACAGGGAUAUCCUGUAGCUGAACAGUCAUGAAGCACUUAACCAUUUUGUUUACAACUUCCACUCAUUUAAAUCAUGUAUUAUGACUGGCUUUGAUUAGUGUUUUCCCCAUCUCUAUUUUAAUUGCCAUUGUUUUCAACUUGGCUUACCAAAGACAAUUGUACUUGAGAAAGAUGUAUUAAAGCUGUAAAAAUUGUUAUACUGUUAAAAUUUGUUUAUGAAUUAGAAUACUUGUUUACAAUUUGUGUUGUCAAUCACUUACAUGUCUGUGAUCUCUUCUGCUUCUCUGUCUUCAUUUUAUAUGGUAGGUAAGACAGGGAUACUCAUUAUUGAUUGGCCAGAACCGGUGACACUAAUAGUCACUGAAUAAGAAUCCCAUCUUAAUUAUUACUGACGGAAAAAACAAAAGGUCUACUAAACAAACAUCAUACUGUGAUCAUGCAAUGUUGUUUUAAGUACAGAUUUUGCUGUUCCUGUUACACUAUAGUUGGUUUCUACAUGUAUCCGUCUCUGAAGAAUUUCAUUUACAUUACAAGAAUUGUAACAAAUUGCAUGAAACAGACUUUGUACUAAAUCUUUAAAAUGUAAUACAUAUAAUGUUGUUUAGUUACUUAUUUAAUUUACAAAUAUUAAAUUAUCUCAUGAAGUAAAUAUUAAUAGUUUUCUUCAUGUGUACUUACUCUUUCCUCAGUUAAA